This 25-nucleotide microRNA is filed under the name Equus caballus (horse). Lineage: Eukaryota; Metazoa; Chordata; Mammalia; Perissodactyla; Equidae. The record is from RNAcentral.
UACCCAGCAAGGUACUGAUCGCUUA